CGUUAUCAGACUUUUUGUGCGAGCUUUGAACCAUCCGUCUCUGAAGAAGAGCACAGUGGAAAAGGGUGAAAGA
Long non-coding RNA from Puntigrus tetrazona (Sumatra barb), 73 nucleotides. RefSeq lists it as uncharacterized. The record is from RefSeq and is a predicted model, not a curated record. NCBI's taxonomy places the organism in Eukaryota, Metazoa, Chordata, Actinopteri, Cypriniformes, Cyprinidae. The transcript is spliced from 3 exons.